RNAcentral lists this ribosomal RNA (269 nucleotides) under uncultured bacterium. RNAcentral's name for it is "partial 16S ribosomal RNA". It matches the Rfam family "Bacterial small subunit ribosomal RNA", at positions 334 to 600 of the family's 1533-position model. The record is from RNAcentral.
UUUACCUACGGGAGGCAGCAGUGAGGAAUAUUGGUCAAUGGGAGAGAUCCUGAACCAGCCAAGCCGCGUGAGGGAAGACGGCCCUAUGGGUUGUAAACCUCUUUUGUCGGAGAACAAAAACCGGGACGUGUCCCGGACUGCGUGUAUCCGAAGAAAAAGCAUCGGCUAACUCCGUGCCAGCAGACGCGGUAAUACGGAGGAUGGGAGCGUUAUCCGGAUUUAUUGGGUUUAAAGGGCGCGUAGGCGGUCCGUUACGUCAGCGGUAAAAU